AAAUUCCCUAAUCUGUGAACGAGUCCCAUUAAUAGGGAGAGAUGAGGACCUAAUGUGCAAAGGCCGAUAAACACCAGUUUAUACUUUCCUGCAGAGCCAAUUUGGAGAUUAUGCACUGCAGAGAAAAAUUCAUGAAACUAGAGGACAAUGAUGGAUAUGGAAGCAAUACGCUGUCUUCAUGUAGUUACACGUUAGUCGUGGUGACCUUGACAUUGGAGAUAUUGACGUGAUUCUUUCGUGCGACACACCGUUCCAUGAUGGUGAACAAAUGUGCCAAAUGAUUUUAAAAUUUCACAAUGAAUGACAUAGUU
Long non-coding RNA from Dreissena polymorpha, 311 nucleotides. RefSeq lists it as uncharacterized. The transcript is spliced from 3 exons. The record is from RefSeq and is a predicted model, not a curated record. NCBI's taxonomy places the organism in Eukaryota, Metazoa, Mollusca, Bivalvia, Myida, Dreissenidae.